Nannospalax galili (Upper Galilee mountains blind mole rat) is the source of this 252-nucleotide long non-coding RNA. RefSeq lists it as uncharacterized. Lineage: Eukaryota; Metazoa; Chordata; Mammalia; Rodentia; Spalacidae. The record is from RefSeq and is a predicted model, not a curated record. The transcript has 2 exons.
GGAAUCCUACACCCUCUUCUGACCUCCAAGGGCACUGAAUGAUUUGUCCCUUGUCAGAGGAAAUCAUCCAAGAGGCUAAAAUUGUCAACUCAAGAAAGAAGCGCUUUAACUCAUCUUCCUGAUGCCUUCCCACAGUGCACUGUCUACAAAGCAUCCAAAAUGACCCAUUUAAAAGUUUGUCAGGUGGUGUCUUUAAUCUGCUCCAACCACUUCUCUCAUAAACUUUAAAAAUAAAAGCAAAGCUUUCAAGUC